Molecule: long non-coding RNA, 2371 nt
Organism: Oncorhynchus tshawytscha (Chinook salmon)
Lineage: Eukaryota; Metazoa; Chordata; Actinopteri; Salmoniformes; Salmonidae
Source: Ensembl
AGUCACUCAAGAGACAUGCCCUUUGGUUGCACAAGCAUAAUGACUUGUGUUAAUUAUAGUAUAAAAAAAUGUGAGUUGUUGGGGAGAAGACAUUAACUUGACUCCUGAUCACACAGUCAGGUUCCAGCAUCUUGUUCUUGAAGAGACUGUCCCCAUGGCGACGAUGUUGACUGUCCUUAUCCUACUCAUCAUUGCCUUUGCAUACCUGUCCUUUUCAGGUAACAGGACCCUGGAACCCUCAUCAUCUGGAACCGAGGAGCCGUCCUUCUCAGGUGACAGGACCCUGGAACCCUCAUCAUCUGGAACCGAGGAGCCGUCCUUCUCAGGUGACAGGACCCUGGAACCACCAUCAUCUGGAACCGAGGAGCCGUCCUUCUCAGGUGAUAGGACCCUGGAACCACCAUCAUCUGGAACCGAGGAGCCGUCCUUCUCAGGUAACAGAACCCUGGAACCUCCAUCAUCUGGAACCGAGGAGCCAUCCUACUCGGGUGACAGGACCCUGGAACCCCCAUCAUCUGGAACCGAGGAGCCAUCCUACUCUGGUGACAGGACCCUGGAACCUCCAUCAUCUGGAACCGAGGAGCCGUCCUUCUCAGGUGAUAGGACCCUGGAACCCCCAUCAUCUGGAACCGAGGAGCCAUCCUACUCUGGUGACAGGACCCUGGAACCUUCAUCAUCUGGAACCAAGGAGCCGUCCUUCUCAGGUAACAGGACCCUGGAACCACCAUCAUCUGGAACAGAGGAGCCGUCUUUCUCAGGUGACAGGACCCUGGAACCCCCAUCAUCUGGAACCGUGGAGCCGUCCUUCUCAGGUAACAGGACCCUGGAACCCCCAUCAUCUGGAACCGAGGAGCCGUCUUUCUCAGGUGACAGGACCCUGGAACCACCAUCAUCUGGAACCGUGGAGCCGUCUUUCUCAGGUGACAGGACCCUGGAACCCCCAUCAUCUGGAACAGAGGAGCCGUCCUCCGGAGUGUGAGAAGAUCAUGAACAGCAACGGGAGAGUUGAUAAUAUUGAUUACCAUGAUAUUGACCAGGGUAUAUUUUUUUACAUGGAUAUUGCAGUGUCAUUUCAGACACAGCCUGAGAGGGAAAAGUACAGCAAUUGUUUGUCAGAUUUAUUUAGCAUAAUUGUUAACUUUUCUGCUAUCCUGUCUAGUAACUUUCCAUAACUAUGUAGACAGUAAAGCCUUAUAUGCUGUAGUGUGUCUUUCACUGAAGCUUUCCUAUCCUCUGUGCUGACUGUCAUUAGCAGACCUGGGCUCAAACAUACUAUCUGAAAUCUUCCAAAUACUUUGAGUGUUUUAUCUAGCCUGUCUGAAGUGCUGGAUGGGCAGUGUUUGCAGUUUUGGGACAAUUGUAUUGGUCAAUUUUACCAUGCAGGCUCAUUCAAGCACAGAUUAAGUAUUUGGAAUGAUUUCAAAUAGUAUUUUAACCAGGUCUGGACAUAAGAAAAUAUUACAUAACAUAUACAUGUAAGAUCCUGUUUUUGUUAUUUUAUCCCCCUCUACUUUACACAGGGCAGGAGGCCUUCCAGGCUUCUGGUCUAUCAGAUGUCAAAGACCUCUGUAGUACCACUUCAUACAGAGUUUGACUCUUUCUAUCUUCUGUUUCAUCAUCUAAACCCUGUGUCCCAUCAUGUAGUUGUUUUGGAGGCAUUCUGUCAUGGAAUAAAUCUAUAUGAUCAAGAUCAUCUUGUCCUAGUUGCAAGGUCCCUCCUGGGAAGGUGGGUGGGGUCAUUUCUUUUUCUUUGCAAUUUUCUCUCUUUGCAAUUCUGUCACUAUUGUGAAAGUUGUUUUAGACUUAAAGCAUAUAGCCCAAUUGACAAGUACUUCAUGACUGUGCCACCAGUGGACGCUGCUAAGGGGAGGACGGCUCAUAAUAAUGGCUGGAAUGGAGUCAAUGGAACGCUAUCAAACGUGGUUUCCAUGUGGUUGAUACCAUUCCAAUGACUCCAUUCCAGGCAUUACUAUGAGCCGUCCUCCCCACAGCAGCCUCCACUGUGUGCCCACAUUGUAAUUGAUAUACAGUAUGUUUGCCAAGGUUAUACAGUGUAAGAUUAAGUAGUGUAUGGUUCCAACUUGUAUAGAUCACGGUAACAUAUAAUGUACUAACAAUAUCAAUAUUAUGUUUGCGUUUUCUCUAGGCAAUGUUAUUGUACUGUACUUCUUCAUAUUGCACUCGGUGAACCAGAACUGUGUGUGUGCGUGUGUAUGCAUAUGUAUUGCUUGAUUAGGACAAGCAAUACAAACGCAAAAGUGUUUACUUCUCUUGAGACGAGUAUGAUGAAGAGAGGAAAAAAAGAGUUGUCGAGUUGCAUAAACGCCCAGGCUUUGGGGAAGUGUUGCUACUAUUAAAUAAAGAAGAGAUG